GUCUGUACCCAUACCACCCAGAACACGCAUGGUCUUAGGAGCUAAGCAGGGUUAAGGAUGGUUAGCACUUGGAUAGGAGACUGCCUGGGAAUACCCGGUGCUGUAGACU
RNAcentral lists this ribosomal RNA (109 nucleotides) under Microcebus murinus (gray mouse lemur). Lineage: Eukaryota; Metazoa; Chordata; Mammalia; Primates; Cheirogaleidae. The record is from RNAcentral.